GCAAAAACCGUGAACGAAUAAAACCUGUGCAGAGCCCGAUACAGAGAGUUCCCGUGUGGUGUGAGGGGAUGAAGGCGUACAGUGACCUACAUUCGGGAGUUGCCGCAUUGAAUCCAGUAGGUGCGGCCGGGUGUGCCCGUUACAGCUUUUCGAGGCUGAGCUCCGCUCGGCAAAUCGGGGUGGUACCGCGAGUAACUUCGCCCCCGGA
Molecule: non-coding RNA, 208 nt
Filed under: Ruminococcus flavefaciens
Lineage: Bacteria; Bacillati; Bacillota; Clostridia; Eubacteriales; Oscillospiraceae
Description: T-box sequence
Rfam family: T-box leader
About the family: Uncharged tRNA acts as the effector for transcription antitermination of genes in the T-box leader family. T-boxes are found upstream of many aminoacyl-tRNA synthetase genes and some amino acid biosynthetic genes usually in Gram-positive bacteria.
Source: RNAcentral